This 1169-nucleotide long non-coding RNA is filed under the name Chloebia gouldiae (Gouldian finch). RNAcentral describes it as "Erythrura gouldiae (Gouldian finch) lncRNA (ENSEGOG00005005014.1)". Lineage: Eukaryota; Metazoa; Chordata; Aves; Passeriformes; Passeridae. The record is from RNAcentral.
CUGUGAGGUGCCUGCGGCAAACAAGUCGUUAAAGGGAAGUCGCCAUCGCGAUAAACGGCGGCUGGCGGCCGAACCUCCGGCCGCGAGACGCCUAAGGAGCGCCGCUGCCUCCGUUUCCAGAGGCAUUUCAAGCACCGGCGCGCCCACGUGACGUCUCUUAAUUACUUCUUUUUUAUUUUGAUCAGGCUACUCUGCCGUCUGCCGAGCUCUGAGGCCCGCAGAGGGCGUAGCCGCGCGGAGGCUGCCGGGAGUUGUAGUUCCGGGCUGGCUAGCGCCGGUCUCCGGCCGCCAUUUUCCGUCGCCCUCAGGGCUCCAUGAGGGGCAGCGGGGCCCGGCUUCACUUGAGCUCGCGGGCGCACCCGGGAUGUGUCAGCGAACAUUUACAUACAUCGUGGGAGCGGGGGGCGCUCAGGGAGCACAGCCCAGGUAGCGUGUGGGACAAAAGCGAGGAGCCUCCCCGGCACCGGAGCGGUGAAGAGUACAGCGGUUGUUAACAAAACACGAGGCGUUCUGUGGUAACCCGGCCCAAACGUGCCCCUCCGCAGCGUGCACAGGCGGGAGGCUGGGCAGGAAGGGCGGCCCAGCCCGCAGGCACCGUGUGCAUCGCGGCCGUCCCAGCAGCAGCAGCUCCAGCCUCUGGCCCGGCCCUUACGGAGCCCUGCCAUGCCGUGCCUGCAGUCAGCCAGCAGCGGAGACCUCUGAAAAGUCUUUGCGCCUGUUCUUGCCCUGGUUUUUCACGCUGUGACUUCGUGCCUUCGUUAAGCCCUGUUACUUCCUGCCCUUGCGACAUUCCCAGAGAGGCGGGAGCAGCGCAGGUCCCACCCUCUCUGUUUGAACCGGUCCGGGAGCGCCUCUCCCCGCCGGGCUGGGGGUGCCUCGGGGCAUUUGCCCAUCCCAACAGCACAGCCUUGGCCACAAAGUACCUGCUGGGCAUGGCCAGGACCAGAGCAUCCAUCCAUGAAGCACUGGAAAUUCAAACACCUGCUGAUGUGGCUGCUGGAAGAGCUGGGACAGGAAUUCCUGCAGCCUCCCCAACCACUGGAGAAGGCUCUGAAGCCACACUGCCUCAGCCCAUGGGGCUGCUCCCUCCUGGCACAGCUCCCACACGCUGUGAUCCCGUUAGGAGUAAGCACAGCUUGGACCAAGAAGAGCUACAGAGCUCUCACUGA